UACGGGGGGAGCAAGCGUUGUUCGGAUUUACUGGGCGUAAAGGGCGCGUAGGCGGCCACCGCAAGUCGACUGUGAAAUCUCCGGGCUUAACCCGGAAAGGUCAGCCGAUACUGCGGGGCUAGAGUGCAGAAGGGGCAACUGGAAUUCUCGGUGUAGCGGUGAAAUGCGUAGAUAUCGAGAGGAACACCUGCGGCGAAGGCGGGUUGCUGGGCUGACACGUGACGC
This 225-nucleotide ribosomal RNA is filed under the name uncultured bacterium. Its description in RNAcentral is "partial 16S ribosomal RNA". It matches the Rfam family "Bacterial small subunit ribosomal RNA", at positions 524 to 746 of the family's 1533-position model. The record is from RNAcentral.